UACAGAGGAGCCAAGCGUUGUCCGGAUUGACUGGGCGUAAAGCGCACGCAGGCGGAUGCGCGCGUGGGGUGUGAAAUCUGGCCGCUUAACGGCCAGGCGCCAUCCCAUACGGCGCGUCUGGAGUGAUGCAGAGGUCGGUGGAAUUGCCGGUGUAGUGGUGAAAUGCGUAGAGAUCGGCAGGAACACCCAGGGGGGAACCAGCCGACUGGGCAUCUACUGACGCUGAGGUGCGAGAGCGUGGGGAGCGAACCGG
This 253-nucleotide ribosomal RNA is filed under the name uncultured bacterium. RNAcentral's name for it is "partial 16S ribosomal RNA". It matches the Rfam family "Bacterial small subunit ribosomal RNA", at positions 524 to 776 of the family's 1533-position model. The record is from RNAcentral.